RNAcentral lists this ribosomal RNA (242 nucleotides) under uncultured bacterium. Its description in RNAcentral is "partial 16S ribosomal RNA". It matches the Rfam family "Bacterial small subunit ribosomal RNA", at positions 535 to 776 of the family's 1533-position model. The record is from RNAcentral.
CGAGCGUUGUCCGGAAUUACUGGGCGUAAAGAGCUCGUAGGUGGUUUGUCGCGUUGUCCGUGAAAACUCACAACUCAAUUGUGGGCGUGCGGGCGAUACGGGCAGACUGGAGUACUGCAGGGGAGACUGGAAUUCCUGGUGUAGCGGUGGAAUGCGCAGAUAUCAGGAGGAACACCGGUGGCGAAGGCGGGUCUCUGGGCAGUAACUGACGCUGAGGAGCGAAAGCGUGGGGAGCGAACAGG